RNAcentral lists this ribosomal RNA (1260 nucleotides) under uncultured bacterium. RNAcentral describes it as "bacterial SSU rRNA". It matches the Rfam family "Bacterial small subunit ribosomal RNA", at positions 1 to 1301 of the family's 1533-position model. The record is from RNAcentral.
UUAAGUUCGACUGCCAGUGAUUAGAGUUUGAUCCUGGCUCAGGACGAACGCUGGCGGCACGCUUAACACAUGCAAGUCGAACGAGCGAAAGGUGCUUGCACCUCUAGCUAGUGGCGGACGGGUGAGUAACACGUGAGCAAUCUGCCUUCGGGUGGGGGAUACCAGUUGGAAACGACUGUUAAUACCGCAUAACAUGAUAGAACCGCAUGAUUUUAUCAUCAAAGAUUUAUUGCCUGAAGAUGAGCUCGCGUCUGAUUAGCUAGUUGGUGAGGUAACGGCCCACCAAGGCGACGAUCAGUAGCCGGACUGAGAGGUUGAACGGCCACAUUGGGACUGAGACACGGCCCAGACUCCUACGGGAGGCAGCAGUGGGGAAUAUUGCACAAUGGGCGCAAGCCUGAUGCAGCGAUGCCGCGUGAGGGAAGAAGGUUUUCGGAUUGUAAACCUCUGUUGACAGGGACGAUAAUGACGGUACCUGUUCAGAAAGCUCCGGCUAACUACGUGCCAGCAGCCGCGGUAAUACGUAGGGAGCGAGCGUUGUCCGGAAUUACUGGGUGUAAAGGGAGUGCAGGCGGGACUGCAAGUCAGAUGUGAAAUGUAGGGGCUCAACCCCUGAGCUGCAUUUGAAACUGUGGUUCUUGAGUGAAGUAGAGGUAAGCGGAAUUCCUAGUGUAGCGGUGAAAUGCGUAGAUAUUAGGAGGAACAUCAGUGGCGAAGGCGGCUUACUGGGCUUUAACUGACGCUGAGGCUCGAAAGCGUGGGGAGCAAACAGGAUUAGAUACCCUGGUAGUCCACGCUGUAAACGAUGAUUACUAGGUGUGGGGGGACUGACCCCUUCCGUGCCGCAGUUAGCACAAUAAGUAAUCCACCUGGGGAGUACGGCCGCAAGGCUGAAACUCAAAGGAAUUGACGGGGGCCCGCACAAGCAGUGGAGUAUGUGGAUUAAUUCGAAGCAACGCGAAGAACCUUACCAAGUCUUGACAUCGUACGCAUAGCAUAGAGAUAUGUGAAAUCCCUUCGGGACGUAUAGACAGUGGUGCAUGUUGUCGUCAGCUCGUGUCGUGAGAUGUUGGGUAAGUCCGCAACGAGCGCACCCUACUGUAGUGCUACGCAGGAGCACUCCUAGCAGACUGCGUGACAACGGAGAGGUGGGGAUGACGUCAAUCAUCAUGGCCUUAUGACUUGGCCUCACGUACUACAUGCCGUAACUAGGAGGCAGUCCAAGGUGGACAAACCCUAAAGCAGCUUAGUUCGGAAUGU